UAUGUGAUCGUCUCUCGCAUAUCAAUAAGCGGAGGAAAAGAAACUAACAAGGAUUCCCUUAGUAACGGCGAGUGAAGCGGGAAGAGCUCAAAUUUGAAAUCUUCAAGGCUUUACCUUGACGAAUUGUAGUUUAAAGAAGUGUUUUCUGUUGAAGUUUUGGUAAAAGUUCUUUGGAAUAGGACAUCAUAGAGGGUGAGAAUCCCGUAUUUGACCAUUAUUUUCCAGCUGUGUGAUACACUUUCAAAGAGUCGGAUUGUUUGGGAAUGCAGUCCAAAAUGGGUGGUAAAUUUCAUCUAAAGCUAAAUAUUGGCGAGAGACCGAUAGCGAACAAGUACCGUGAGGGAAAGAUGAAAAGAACUUUGAAAAGAGAGUUAAACAGUACGUGAAAUUGUCAAAAGGGAAGCGUUUGACACCAGUGUUGUUUUCUCGAAAAUCAAUUAAAAAGAGUUAGAUUUUGUUGUGUAUUGACCUUAACAGCUUGCAUUUCAAUUUUCUUGCUUUUUUUAAUGCACUUUUCGUUUAACAAGUCAACAUCAGUUUCUAUUGUUGUAAAAAGGUCAUUGGAAGGUGGCUUUCUUUUCGGAGAAAGUGUUUAUAGCCUUUGACUCCUGCAAUCGGAGAGACUGAGGUCUGCAGCGUAGAUCCUUCGGGGUUAGAUACAUUUGUGCUAAGUUAUAGCUUUUUAUAGACAACUUGUUGACUAUGAUUAGUCUUGUAGCUUACUCGCUUAUGCUAUUUUACCUACGCUUAGGAUGUUGAAGAUGUAGCACAUCA
RNAcentral lists this ribosomal RNA (774 nucleotides) under uncultured Neocallimastigales. RNAcentral describes it as "partial large subunit ribosomal RNA". It matches the Rfam family "Eukaryotic large subunit ribosomal RNA", at positions 24 to 642 of the family's 3401-position model. The record is from RNAcentral. Lineage: Eukaryota; Fungi; Neocallimastigomycota; Neocallimastigomycetes; Neocallimastigales.